UACGUAGGGGGCAAGCGUUGUCCGGAAUCAUUGGGCGUAAAGAGCGUGUAGGCGGCUCGGUAAGUCCGCUGUGAAAGUCCAGGGCUCAACCCUGGAAUGCCGGUGGAAACUGUCGAGCUAGAGUCCGGAAGAGGCGAGUGGAAUUCCUGGUGUAGCGGUGAAAUUCGUAGAUAUUGGGAAGAACACCAGUGGCGAAGGCGGCUCUCUGGACCGUAACUGACGCUGAGGCGCGAAAGCGUGGGGAUCAAACAGG
Molecule: ribosomal RNA, 253 nt
Filed under: uncultured bacterium
Lineage: Bacteria
Description: partial 16S ribosomal RNA
Rfam family: Bacterial small subunit ribosomal RNA
Source: RNAcentral